AUACGGAAGGUCCGGGCGUUAUCCGGAUUUAUUGGGUUUAAAGGGAGCGCAGGCGGAGAUGCAAGCGUGACGUCAAAUUUCGGGGCUCAACCCCGUCUCGCGUCGCGAACUGCGUCCCUUGGUUGCGGGAAGGGGAGGCGGAACUCGUGGGGUAGCGGUGAAAUGCAUAGAUAUCACGAAGAACUCCGAUCGCGAAGGCAGCCUUCCGGCCCGUCAACGACGCUCAUGCUCGAAGGUGCGGGUAUCAAACAGGAUUAGAUACCCUGGUAAUCCGCACAGUAAACGAUGGACACCCGCGGUUUGGCCUGUAUGGCUGAGCCGCCAAGCGAAAGCGUUAAGUGUCCCACCUGGGGAGUACGCCGGCAACGGUGAAACUCAAAUGAAUUGACGGGG
Molecule: ribosomal RNA, 393 nt
Filed under: uncultured bacterium
Lineage: Bacteria
Description: partial 16S ribosomal RNA
Rfam family: Bacterial small subunit ribosomal RNA
Source: RNAcentral